GUGGAGUAAAUAAAAAAACCAACACGAUGGAAAAACAAAAAUACAUGCAGGAGAGAAGGAUUCGUAUACAUCAAGAUGCGAAAUAGAAUCAUAUAGCUUAGAAUAUUCAUCCAACUUGCAGUCAAAAAACCGAAGUGUUCAUGAGCCGCACUAAUAGAUGACCACACCCAAGCUUUAACUGAAACACUGUUAACAAUUUGCUUCUGCAUUAUAUGCUAUUUUUGGGCUGCAGUACAUUGCUUCGCAUCAUUGUCAUCAAAGAUAAACAAAUAGCAUCAAAAAACUGUACCCAACACCAAAACCAAUAUAAGAGAAGAUCUGUCUCAUAUGAAUCAGAAGCAAAACAGCAAGUCCCUGCGUAUGAAUUUAUGCCCCUGUUUGGGGAUUAGCUGUUAGCGGUUAGCUAUUAGUGGAUUGAAUUAGAUGUUUUGACUAGCGGAUUGAAAUAAAUGUUUUGACUAGCGGAUUGAAUUAGCUGUUUCUCGUAAAACUGUUUGGUUAAUAGCUGAUUGAUUAGCUUUUUCUGAUACAAACCAAAACCUCUAACCCAAAAAACUCCUAAAAGUAGCUUUUUCAGAAUUAGUUUUUUGGAUCCAAACCACUAUUUCAAUCCGCUAUCUACCAAACACUUAUAUUAGCGGAUUCUAGUGGUCAAACCUCUAAACCACCCAAAACCUCUAAUUUUGCCCCAAACCUCUAACUUCCAAACAUGGCCAUAAUAUAUCAAUCUAGUUCCAGUCAGGCAGUCACUGUGAAAGAAUACACAGACUAUAAUACUUUACUGGUAAUGUUUAUAAACCUAGAUAAUGUUUAUAAAUCUCUACCACACUAUAAAAAAAACGCAAAGUAAGAAUUAAAAUUUGUGAAAUUUACUGUAGAAGAGAUGGGGGAUACUGACAUGCUGUAUAGAGGGCUAUUAAAAAUGUACUAGCCAAAAUUAGAUUAAAGUAAAUAAACAUUCAUAUCAGACAGAAAACAAAUGGACAUUGUCAUGGUGACCAACGACCGAGUAAUAAAAAUAUUUCUUAUGGACUGGGGCAGAAGCAGCGGAAACAUACUUUUCAUGACAAGAACAAACUAAUAUCUAUUUUAAACGGCACACUAAAUUUAAAUGACACAAAAAUCUUGAAGGUUACAGCAAUAUUGUUAAUUUAUUAAUAUUCAACAAGUCGCCAUAAAAAGAUUUCAAACAUAUACUGAGUUGGCCACAUCUUAGUAAACUACUCAGACAUCUAUCAGCAAAAGCAUAGGCAUCACAAGAGAAUGAAUCAAUUUUCAAUAACUUUAUGAAAUAUUAUCCAACCAAAUCUUAACCAAGAUCUGUAUACAAGCCAAAGUCUUGUUCUACUAAACAUACUUUAAAACCAGUAAAUCAUUGUCAUCUGAGGUGUCUACAAGACGGAUAGUGAUCAUCUUGAACUGCAAGUAUAAUAUCUUCUAGGGUUCAGAGUUAGGGGGAGAAGCAGAGGAGGAUAAAAUAAACAUAGGAGGGGAAAAUAAAUAUAAGCACUUAAGAUUAAUGGAAAUACAAUUUGAAAGAAAACAUCAAGAUGAGAGAUCAUUCUACAUAGGAUUCACAGGUAUCUUAGUCUACUUAAGUAUACAAAAAGCAACCUUUAGUUGUAACACAAAAGAAAAUAUUAUUUUAGGUAUAAUAGUUUGUUUCUGAAUCUCCAUAAAUGUACUUCUGUACAAAUGAAUUAUUACAACUAAUACCAUAUGCUUAAAUGAACUGUACUUGAACACAAUAUGAUUUAUUAGUGGCUACUGGCUAGUGCAUCAGAAAGGCUAUAUAUAAAUGUCAGGGAAGUCAUAGUAGUAUUAGUAGUCUUACUGUGUCAUACUACAGCAUUGCAUCAAUAUCGAGUAUUAGUAAGGACAGUAGAGACAUUUACUUCCAUUGGGCGUCUAUAAAUACUUGUGUGACUUGUAACAGUUCUGUCAUCUUGAAUAUAUGAAAAGGAAUACAUGUUCACCACCUCUCUCUCCUAUGCUCUCUCUCUCUCUCUCUCUAUUCUGAUCUCUAUCUUUCUCAUUUCUGCUCUGUUUCUAUCUGAAUCUCUCGUAAUCUCUGCCUAUCUUUUUUAUUUUUCUUGCUAUCUAGCUGUUCUUAACACAUACUCUAUAAAACACCAAAAACACUUACAAGAGGAGUUAACCAUGACAAUAUACCACACGCAGCUACUAACACAAAUAAUAACAAGUCUUGCAAUGUUACCACGUUAUAUGCAAAAUCCAUUUGCAGAUAGCUCUCAAAUAAGAAGAUAAACUAUACAGUCUACAGUCUACACUACUCGAGGGGAAUAAAUACAUAUAGAUAUAUACAUGUAAUCUCAAUGGAGUGUGAUGGUGGAUUUACUAAUGCAAGUAACAUUAAGGUAGCCAAAGAGACCCAUCAUGAAUGCAAAAAUCCAAUACAUAAGAUGGACUGAGACUGAUUUUUAUCUAGGUAGCAGUAAUAUAUGUAUAGGACUUUGCUUCAAUGUGUGAGGCCAUGAUAUUAGGGCAAUUAUAACAAAUAUUUACUAAAUUUCAUGAGUCCAGUUACCAGAUAGCUCUCAAGUAAAAAGAUCAAAUACACCACUCAAGGAAUAUACAUAUAUACAGAUAUCAUUUUAAGCUCAAUACAGUGCAAUGGUGAAUUAAGUUUUCUGAUAUAAAUGACCUUAACCAAGGUAGCCAAGAGACUUUAAAUAACUGCAAAAAUAUAACAAGAUAGCCAAAGGCUGAUAUCUAUCUAGGUAGCAGUAGUAUAAAGGACUUCACUUCAAUUAAUCUUUAAAAGGCCAUGAGAUUAGUCAUUAGGUCAACUAUUAGUAACUCCACUAGAACUUGUGGCAAAAACAUUCGAACAGCUUAUAAUUACCUUAAGAACAAAUGCAAACGUCAACCUUCCGCAUCCUUCAGGGAAAGAGCAAACUUCUCAACAUCGCCAAUGGAAUUUUCUGAACAAAGUCUUCUUCUCUAAUAACUACGUACAAUAAGUUCGUCAUAGUUGGCAUAUGAAAAAGUUCAUCAUCUGUAAAUGUGCAAUACAUACUUGCAAUAACAAACAAAUAUGGUGCUAAAUUUACCUUCACCUCCAUCCAACAAGUCAUUGUGAUUUGUGAGUGCAUAACAAUGCCUCCGCAUUUUUGGGGGUAUUAGAACCAACUUGCUAAUAAUUUGAAUUUGUAUCUUAUAUCUCACGCCAAAGCCUAAAAAACAGUAUACUUGAUCUCCAAUGAGAAAGUACAUCACUUUAUUCCAACUCCAAGUCAAGUUGUGAUUUAUUUCUCUUAAAUUAUAUCUGAUAUGCAAUUACUUAGGAGUAUAAUACUUCUUAACAAGCAAACAGUUCACAUGGUAUAAACAAGUUUCUAUGUAAACUGUUACAUAUUAAGGUUUAAAGUAUGAAGGUGUGUGUGUGUGUGUGUGUGAGUGAGUGUGCAUGUGUUUCUGUGUCAGUGUGUGUUUUCAGCCAAAAGCAUUAUAUGUAUAAUGUACCAUGUAACAUAGCUCAACAAGGCUGUCCACUUGAAUGUAUAA
This 3528-nucleotide long non-coding RNA is filed under the name Daucus carota (carrot). RNAcentral's name for it is "long non-coding RNA (DCAR_LNC004796)". Lineage: Eukaryota; Viridiplantae; Streptophyta; Magnoliopsida; Apiales; Apiaceae. The record is from RNAcentral.